GACGAACGCUGGCGGCGUGCUUAACACAUGCAAGUCGAACGGAAAGGUCCUGCUUUUGUGGCGUGCUCGAGUGCCGAACGGGUGAGUAACACGUGAGUAACCUGCCCUUGUCUUUGGGAUAACUUUAGGAAACUGGGGCUAUUACCGGAUAUGAUCUCCUGCUGCACGGUGGGGGUUGGUAAGUUUCGGCGGUUGGGGAUGGACUCGCGGCUUAUCAGCCUGUUUGUGGGGUAGUGGUAUACCAAGGCUGUGACUGGUAGGCGGCCUGGGAGGGUGGCCAGGGUCCUUGGGCCUAAGAUACGGACCAGAAUGCUACGGGAGGCAACAGGGGGAAAUAUUGCACAGUGAGCGGGAGUCUGAUACGGCGACGCCGGGUGCGGGAUGACGGCCUUCGGGUUAUAAACAACUUUCGACUUAGACGUGGCGUGAGUGACGGUAAUGGAUAAAGAAGCACCGGCUAACUACGUG
RNAcentral lists this ribosomal RNA (468 nucleotides) under uncultured bacterium. Its description in RNAcentral is "partial 16S ribosomal RNA". It matches the Rfam family "Bacterial small subunit ribosomal RNA", at positions 28 to 507 of the family's 1533-position model. The record is from RNAcentral.